RNAcentral lists this long non-coding RNA (466 nucleotides) under Ananas comosus (pineapple). RNAcentral describes it as "long non-coding RNA (ACOM_LNC002855)". Lineage: Eukaryota; Viridiplantae; Streptophyta; Magnoliopsida; Poales; Bromeliaceae. The record is from RNAcentral.
AAAUUGUGAUUUUAAUAUUAGGGUUAAUUUCAUACAGGUCCCUAAAAAUAUAGCAAAUUAUAAAUAUACCUCUAUAAAGUUCAACUUUCAUAUAUUGUUUCUAUAAAAUUUCUAAUAUUUUCAAAUAUAUUUCUCUGAUUUGUUACCAUUAAAAUACUGUUUAUUUUAUAAAUAAAAAUGAUCUUUUUGUCAUCACAAAUAUAUCUUGUUAAUUAAAAAGGGAUAAAAUGGUCAGUUCACCUUAUUAACUAACCAAGAUUAAGCAUUUAACCUAUGGUUAACUAAAUUUGUCUAACGAAUUCUAACAGUAGAAAUAUAUAUGAAAACAUCAGGACUUCUGUAAAAAUAAUAUAUGAAAGUUAAACUUUAUAAAAAUAUAUUUAUAAUUUACUAUAUUCGUAGGAAUCUAUAUUCAAACUCUCCUUUCUCUUUUUCUCCUCAUUUUUUUCUCCGGAGUUUCACAACA